RNAcentral lists this ribosomal RNA (506 nucleotides) under Rhodococcus opacus. RNAcentral describes it as "bacterial SSU rRNA". It matches the Rfam family "Bacterial small subunit ribosomal RNA", at positions 371 to 888 of the family's 1533-position model. The record is from RNAcentral. Lineage: Bacteria; Bacillati; Actinomycetota; Actinomycetes; Mycobacteriales; Nocardiaceae.
AUGGGCGAAAGCCUGAUGCAGCGACGCCGCGUGAGGGAUGAAGGCCUUCGGGUUGUAAACCUCUUUCAGCAGGGACGAAGCGGAAGUGACGGUACCUGCAGAAGAAGCACCGGCUAACUACGUGCCAGCAGCCGCGGUAAUACGUAGGGUGCAAGCGUUGUCCGGAAUUACUGGGCGUAAAGAGUUCGUAGGCGGUUUGUCGCGUCGUUUGUGAAAACUCACAGCUCAACUGUGAGCUUGCAGGCGAUACGGGCAGACUUGAGUACUGCAGGGGAGACUGGAAUUCCUGGUGUAGCGGUGAAAUGCGCAGAUAUCAGGAGGAACACCGGUGGCGAAGGCGGGUCUCUGGGCAGUAACUGACGCUGAGGAACGAAAGCGUGGGUAGCGAACAGGAUUAGAUACCCUGGUAGUCCACGCCGUAAACGGUGGGCGCUAGGUGUGGGUUCCUUCCACGGAAUCUGUGCCGUAGCUAACGCAUUAAGCGCCCCGCCUGGGGAGUACGGCCG